RNAcentral lists this long non-coding RNA (535 nucleotides) under Ananas comosus (pineapple). Its description in RNAcentral is "long non-coding RNA (ACOM_LNC008110)". Lineage: Eukaryota; Viridiplantae; Streptophyta; Magnoliopsida; Poales; Bromeliaceae. The record is from RNAcentral.
GCAGGACUGCUGUGCUCAGGAGCACGGAGGCCUCCGUGCUCCUGAGCCGUUUUCGAUGAUGAAAUUUCCGAAUCGACGAUCGGCUCCGUUAGACUUGAUCUAGCGUAUUUGAAGUUUCUAGAAAAUAAUUUUGCUAUUUUUUGAUAUCAAUUACCUAAUGAUCGAAAGGAUUCAAAAUUAAUAAUUUUCAACGGCUGAAAAUAAAAAUCUUAUAAAAAGUGGUGAUAUAGCACUAAAAUUUUCGAUCAGAAAUAUUGAUCUUGUUGUAGAUAGUAUAAAAAAUUUUAUAUCAAAAUUUCAUCUAAUUUGAAUACUUCUACACUGUUAAACUUGAAAACGGCAGAUAUCAACCAUUAAAAAUUAUUGAUUUUGAAUCCUUUAAAUCACUAGGUAAAUGAUAUUAAAAAAUUACAAAAAUUAUUUUCUAGAAAUUUCAAAUGCACUAGAUCAAGUCUAACGGAGCCGAUCGUUGAUUCAAAAAUUUCAUCAUCGAAAAUGGUUUAGAAGAGCACAGCACCUCUGCUCUCUCUCUCUG